Molecule: non-coding RNA, 174 nt
Organism: Salvelinus sp. IW2-2015
Lineage: Eukaryota; Metazoa; Chordata; Actinopteri; Salmoniformes; Salmonidae
Source: RefSeq, a predicted model, not a curated record
GAAGCGAAGAGGGUCCAUGUGGUCUUUAUCCCGAAAGUCCAGAAACCGUUCAGAUCAAUCUGAGCUGGGACAGAGGCCGGCAGAGACAAAAAACCUAAUUGAAUGCAAUGUUCUCUCAUGAUAUACUGUAUGUGAUAUAAUAUAACUUUGAUAAUGUAGUAAGCUGAUGAAUAU